This is a long non-coding RNA of Osmerus eperlanus (European smelt), 2378 nucleotides long. RefSeq lists it as uncharacterized. NCBI's taxonomy places the organism in Eukaryota, Metazoa, Chordata, Actinopteri, Osmeriformes, Osmeridae. The transcript has 6 exons. The record is from RefSeq and is a predicted model, not a curated record.
GGUAGGAACGUAGAUCGACUGGUAAAUAGAGAGCUUCGCCUUUCGACUCAGCUCCUUCUUCACCACAACGGACCGAUGCAGAGCCCGCCUCACUGCGGACGCCGCACCGAUCCGCCUGUCGAUCUCGCGCUCCAUCCUUCCCUCACUCGUGAACAAGACCCCGAGAUACUUGAACUCCUCCGCUUGGGACAAGAUCUCCUCCCCGACCCGGAGAUUGCACUCCACCUUUUUCCGGUCGAUAACCAUGGCCUCAGAUUUGGAGGUGUUGAUUCCCAUCCCAGCCGCUUCGCAUUCGGUUGCGAACCGCUCCAGUGAGAGCUGGAGGUCACGGCCCGAUGAAGCCAACAGGACCACAUCAUCCGCAAAAAGCAGCGACCCGAUCCUGAGGUCCCCAAACCGGACCCCCUCAACGCCCUGGCUGCGCCUAGAAAUUCUGUCCAUAUCAGUUAUGAACAGAAUCGGUGACAAAGGGCAGCCCUGGCGGAGUCCAACCCUCACCGGGAACAAGUUCGACUUACUACCGGCAAUGCGGACCAAACUCUGGCACCGGUCGUACAGGGACCGAACAGCCCCGAUCAGGGAGUCCGGUACCCCGUACUCCCGGAGCACCCCCCACAUGAGCCCCCGAGGGACACGGUCGAACGCCUUUUCCAAAUCCACAAAACAUGUGUAGACUGGUUGGGCGAACUCCCAUGCACCCUCCAGAACCCUGCCGAGGGUAUAGAGCUGGUCCACAGUUCCACGGCCAGGACGAAAACCACAUUGCUCCUCCUGAAUCCAAGGUUCGACAAUCCGACGGACCCUCCUCUCCAGCACCCCUGAAUAGACUUUCCCAGGGAGGUUGAGGAGUGUGAUCCCCCUAAAGUUGGAGCACACCCUCCGGAAAAUCAAUCCACUAAUAAUUGUAGUGCAGACACCCUGGCAAAAGGAUAUACUUAGAGAACAUCCCCAUACCAUGGUAUUCAUGGAUGCUACUUACAAAGCCAUGACAUCAUAUGGUUAUGCAUUUUAUGCACUUCUUUUGACCAACAGUAUUGGGAGAGCAGUCCCAUUUGCUUACUUUGUAGGAAUCAGCAGACAUACUUGCUAUCUGCUUGGAAAAGCUUGCAAAACACAACCCAGGAUUUCUUCCCAGGUCAAUAAUGAUUGACCGUGACCUUAAGGAACUCAAUGUCAUAAGAAGAGUUUUUCCAACAGGCAAGGUUCUUCUUUGCUGGUUUCAUGUACUCCAGGCUGUGCAUAGGUGGAUGGUUAGAAGAGAUGGAGGGAACUUGCCAGUGAAUCAACGAAAUAUUGUGAUUUAAGCAAUGGUGUCACUGAAAUCCUGUUUAACGGAAGAAGAGUUUAACAGCAUGUCAGCUAGAAAGUGCGAAGAGCUCGAUACCUGUCUAGAUACUUCACAUGGAUCGACCUACCUCAAGAAUCAGUGGAUUUGUUUGGGAGAUUUGUGGUCCAACUUUGGCAGGUCAUUCUAUCACCAUAACAGCGAAACCAACAACAAGGCAGAAAGAUUUUUCCUCACAAUGAAGUAUCAGUUUCUUAAGGGGAGGAUGAAUAGCAGGAUUGAUCAGCUUCUUCGCUUACUGUGUGGUGAUGUCCAAAAAUAUUACAGUUACCUGGAUGACCUUAAAGAAACUGGACGAAUCAAGGGAGCAAACAGUGAAGAGACGACUAAUGCCGCCCAGUCUAUGGUUGCAAAAGGCCUGGACUCAAAAGUGGAGAUGCAUGAAAAUGGAGUGUGUUUGGUUCCACCCAAUACAAGCACACAAUCUCACAGAGUUGACCUGGGGUGUAUUCGUCGUAGCUCGCUAAGCGGUUUAGCGAGCUAAUUUUCAGACUAAGAUAAAAAACGCCCCUCUUUUUGGUUCGUGGAAGCAACUUUCGAUAAAUAAAGUAACACAUCAAUUAGCACUAACCUGCUCCAGAGCAGGCUAACGUAAGUGUAGCUGGAUAAGCUUGCCACACCCCCGGAAAAUAACAUGGCAGCUCCCUUUUUGAGAGACCCAGUUGACCAAGGAGCUAUAUUUUAGUUCGAUUAGCUUUCCAUACCAAUAGAGUUCUUCGCGAUUGCCAAGAUCCUUUGUUUCACACGGAUGAGUUCUUGUUUGAGCGAUAUCGAUUCAGCAAGGACUCACUUAUUUGCAAGACCUUCUCGGGCCGUACAUUGCAAAUAUCACACGCCGCAGCAAGCUUUAUGCUUUAUUAUGAGCUUAUGCUGCUGUAUGUGAAUAUGUAACACUAUGUUUUAGGAAAUGUCUUAUCUGUUGUGCCUGUGCUUUUUAUAUGUUUCACUGUGGGAGAGUGGGAAACGUCAUAUCGAUUCCUUUUUAUGUCUUGACAUGUGAAGAAAUUGACAAUAAAGAUACUAGAAACUUUAA